AGGCUACAGGGCUGUGAACUCACUGUUGAGUGCUGUGAGAGUUUGUCUUCAGCUCUACAAUCCUCAAACUGUGUGCUGAGAGAGCUGGACCUGAGUGACAAUGACCUGCAGGAUUCAGGAGUGAAGCUUCUCUCUGAUGGACUGAAGAGUCAACACUGUAAACUGGACACACUGAGAUUGGUCACAUGUAAUCUCACUGUUCAGUGCUGUGAGAGUUUGUCUUCAGCUCUACAAUCCUCAAACUGUGUGCUGAGAGAGCUGGACCUGAGUAACAAUGACCUGCAGGAUUCAGGAGUGAAGCUUCUCUCUGAUGGACUGAAGAGUCAACACUGUAAACUGGACACACUGAGAUUGUCUGGCUGUAUGGUGACAGAGGAAGGCUGUGGUUUUCUGUCUUCAGCUCUGACUUCAAACCCCUCACACCUGAGAGAGCUGGAUCUGAGCUACAAUCAUCCAGGAGAUUCAGGAGUCAAGCUGCUCUCUGAACAACUGGAGGAUCCAAACUACACACUGGACAAACUCAAUCUGGAUCAUGGAGGACACACGAGGAUUACAGCAGGACCACGCAAAUAUGUCUGUUUCCUCACUCUGGAUCCAAACACAGCAAACACUCGACUCAUUCUGUCUGAGGAGAACAGAGAGGUGAAGAGUGUGGAGGAGAAUCAGCCGUAUCCUGAUCAUCCACACAGAUUUGAUGAUCUUCCUCAGGUGUUGUGCAGAGAGAGUGUGUGUGGACGCUGUUACUGGGAGAUUGACUGGAGUGGAGAUGAUGGUGUGUGUAUAUCAGUGUCAUAUAAGAGCAUCAGGAGGAAGGGAGGAGGUUAUGAGUGUGGGUUUGGAGAUAAUGCUCAGUCCUGGAAUUUGAUCUGCUCUUCCAUCGGUUCCUCAUUCAUACACAAUGACACAGAGACUGAUCUCCUAGUGAAGCCGCUCAGCAGUAGAAUAGGAGUGUUUGUGGAUCACAGUGCAGGAACUCUGAUCUUCUACAACAUCUAUAGAGACACAAUGAGCCUCAUCCACUCAGUCCAGACCACAUUCACUGAGCCGCUCUGUGCUGGGUUUGGGCUUUAUGAUCCUGGAUCAUCAGUGAAACUGAGCUGA
Non-coding RNA from Danio rerio (zebrafish), 1101 nucleotides. Lineage: Eukaryota; Metazoa; Chordata; Actinopteri; Cypriniformes; Danionidae. The record is from Ensembl.